RNAcentral lists this unclassified non-coding RNA (268 nucleotides) under uncultured fungus. RNAcentral's name for it is "partial contains 5.8S ribosomal RNA, internal transcribed spacer 2, and large subunit ribosomal RNA". The record is from RNAcentral. RNAcentral also lists the same sequence under 1 other name. Lineage: Eukaryota; Fungi.
AACGCACAUUGCGCCCUUUGGCAUUCCGAAGGGCAUGCCUGUUCGAGCGUCAUUGCAACCCCUCCAGCAGCCUCUUGCUGGGCGUUGGGCGUCUUUGUGGCUGCGGCCACUCGCCUGAAAAGCAUCGGCGCCGGCGCGUCGGCCCUGCGCGUAGCACAUUGUUCGCGCCUGGGACCCCGUCGCGGCGGCCGCCGUCAACGCAGCGCAGCACGCACUGCUGCCUCCAUGACUUGACCUCGGAUCAGGUAGGGAUACCCGCUGAACUUAA